GAUGAACGCUAGCUACAGGCUUAACACAUGCAAGUCGAGGGGAAACGACAUCGAAAGCUUGCUUUUGAUGGGCGUCGACCGGCGCACGGGUGAGUAACGCGUAUCCAACCUGCCCAUCACUUGGGGAUAACCUUGCGAAAGUAAGACUAAUACCCAAUGAUAUCUCUAGAAGACAUCUGAAAGAGAUUACAGAUUUAUCGGUGAUGGAUGGGGAUGCGUCUGAUUAGCUUGUUGGCGGGGUAACGGCCCACCAAGGCACCGAUCAGUAGGGGUUCUGAGAGGAAGGUCCCCCACAUUGGAACUGAGACACGGUCCAAACUCCUACGGGAGGCAGCAGUGAGGAAUAUUGGGCAAUGGGCGAGAGCCUGAACCAGCCAAGUAGCGUGCAGGAAGACGGCCCUAUGGGUUGUAAACUGCUUUUAUAAGGGAAUAAAGUGAGAGUCGUGACUCUUUUUGUAUGUACCUUAUGAAUAAGGACCGGCUAAUUCCGUG
This 492-nucleotide ribosomal RNA is filed under the name uncultured bacterium. RNAcentral describes it as "partial 16S ribosomal RNA". It matches the Rfam family "Bacterial small subunit ribosomal RNA", at positions 28 to 507 of the family's 1533-position model. The record is from RNAcentral.